Molecule: ribosomal RNA, 460 nt
Filed under: uncultured bacterium
Lineage: Bacteria
Description: partial 16S ribosomal RNA
Rfam family: Bacterial small subunit ribosomal RNA
Source: RNAcentral
CCUACGGGAGGCAGCAGUGAGGAAUAUUGGUCAAUGGACGAGAGUCUGAACCAGCCAAGUAGCGUGAAGGAUGACUGCCCUAUGGUUUGUAAACUUCUUUUAUAUGGGAAUAAAAUGUUCCACGUGUGGGAUUUUGUAUGUACCAUAUGAAUAAGGAUCGGCUAACUCCGUGCCAGCAGCCGCGGUAAUACGGAGGAUCCGAGCGUUUUCCGGAUUUAUUGGGUUUAACGGGAGCGUAGGUGGAUUGUUAAGUCAGUUGUGAAAGUUUGCGGCUCAACCGUAAAAUUGCAGUUGAAACUGGCAGUCGUGAGUACAGUAGAGGUGGGCGGAAUUCGUGGUGUAGCGGUGAAAUGCUUAGAUAUCACGAAGAACUCCGAUUGCGAAGGCAGCUCACUGGACUGCAACUGACACUGAGGCUCGAAAGUGUGGGUAUCAAACAGGAUUAGAUACCCUAGUAGUC